Molecule: ribosomal RNA, 279 nt
Filed under: uncultured bacterium
Lineage: Bacteria
Description: partial 16S ribosomal RNA
Rfam family: Bacterial small subunit ribosomal RNA
Source: RNAcentral
UGCCAGCAGCCGCGGUAAUACGGAGGGUGCAAGCGUUAUCCGGAUUCAUUGGGUUUAAAGGGUACGUAGGCGGAUAUAUAAGUCAGUGGUGAAAUCCCGAAGCUCAACUUCGGAACUGCCAUUGAAACUGUAUAUCUUGAAUUUGGUUGAAGUGGGCGGAAUAUGACAUGUAGCGGUGAAAUGCAUAGAUAUGUCAUGGAACACCAAUAGUGAAGACAGCUCACUAAACCACGAUUGACGCUGAGGUACGAAAGCAUGGGGAGCGAACAGGAUUAGAUA